CUAUAGGCCUCCUUGCUCACCUAUGCUUUUUCAGUUCUGCCCACACAUGUUCUAUAGGAUUGAGGUCAGGGCUUUGUGAUAACCACUCCAAUACCUUGACUUUGUUGUCCUUAAGCCAUUUUUCCACAAGGUGGUGUAAGGCAGCAUUUACUUAUAAAUUGUUCAAUAAACAAUGAAUCUUUCAGAAUGUGUGGCCAGUGUUUGGCACUCGCUUUAAGCGGCAUGCAUUAGUUUGAAAAAAGUCACUGCAAAAGAUUCAAACAUUCUGCCCACACCUCUGCAGAAAUGUGAUACAACUUGUGAUUGAGCUUUCUUUCAGAAACUGUCAUGGCCCAGUUCCAACAUCUCCAAACUCUAAAAAUGAGGGGUUCAACAAGGGUUCUUCUAAGAUCCUCAAAGUUGAAGAACCUUAGGGUUCUUGGCACUGAAAAUUGCCCCCAAAGGUUUCUUCCAAGAACCCCAUAGGAGGUGGAGUUCAUCGAGGAACCUCUUUAAUUGGUGGGUUUUUUUCAGGAACCUAACUGCCCAACUGAAGCAUUUGGAUUUUAAUUUAAAGGACAGCAGGCGCAGGCACUUAACUGAAAAAUGUAAAGAUCUCCUCAGUUUAAGAAAAUGGACACAAUUGACUGGAUAUCAAUCAACAGCGAGGUAUACAGACGAGGAGGCAUACAAAGGUAUGUCAAUUGGUAUGUUAUGCAGAUCACGUGUGACAUCCUCCUCCCUUACCUCUUCAAUGAAAAUCACAUAGGCCUCUACAUUAUGGACAAGAUUCACAGGUUUCACCCUCCCUACACAUCUGAUGAAUAUAACAGGAAACCUGUUCGAUCACCCUGCACUGCAAAAUC
Oncorhynchus tshawytscha (Chinook salmon) is the source of this 845-nucleotide long non-coding RNA. NCBI's taxonomy places the organism in Eukaryota, Metazoa, Chordata, Actinopteri, Salmoniformes, Salmonidae. The record is from Ensembl.